AAAAGGGCUUGUAGACUUCGGUCUGCUACCUCUUACCCAUGUCUUUUGAGUACCUUCGUUUCCUCGGCGGGUCCGCCCGCCGAUUGGACAACAUUCAAACCCUUUGCAGUUGCAAUCAGCGUCUGAAAAAACUUAAUAGUUACAACUUUCAACAACGGAUCUCUUGGUUCUGGCAUCGAUGAAGAACGCAGCGAAAUGCGAUAAGUAGUGUGAAUUGCAGAAUUCAGUGAAUCAUCGAAUCUUUGAACGCACAUUGCGCCCCUUGGUAUUCCAUGGGGCAUGCCUGUUCGAGCGUCAUUUGUACCUUCAAGCUCUGCUUGGUGUUGGGUGUUUUGUCUCGCCUCUGCGUGUAGACUCGCCUUAAAACAAUUGGCAGCCGGCGUAUUGAUUUCGGAGCGCAGUACAUCUCGCGCUUUGCACUCAUAACGACGACGUCCAAAAGUACAUUUUUACACUCUUGACCUCGGAUCAGGUAGGGAUACCCGCUGAACUUAAGCAUAUCAAUAAGGCGGAGGAA
Molecule: ribosomal RNA, 517 nt
Filed under: Epicoccum nigrum
Lineage: Eukaryota; Fungi; Ascomycota; Dothideomycetes; Pleosporales; Didymellaceae
Description: eukaryotic LSU rRNA
Rfam family: 5.8S ribosomal RNA (bases 144-297)
Source: RNAcentral